This 852-nucleotide long non-coding RNA is filed under the name Homo sapiens (human). RNAcentral describes it as "non-protein coding lnc-MVP-3:19". Lineage: Eukaryota; Metazoa; Chordata; Mammalia; Primates; Hominidae. The record is from RNAcentral.
AUAGCGUCCGGUAGCGACACGGAGCCGGCUCCCCCUUUUCCAGCCUUCCUCCCCAUCUCCCAUUCUCCAUCCCCCACGACCUAUACCAGAGGUCCUUAGGCCUCCACGUCUCUCCUUUUGCCGAGUAGCCCAAGGUUUCCACCCAUCUGCCAGGUCUGGGGCGUCAAGUCGGCUGCCUCGGCUUGGGAAGGUGCUUGGGAGGGAAGAAGGAAGGAGAGGCCCACCAGGCGAAGGGGUGAGGGGUAGGGGGUUGCGGGAGUUCCCUCUCACUCCCGAAGAUAUAAAGCAACCUUUAUUAUUAUUAUUAUUUUUUCUUGUGAGAGGGAAUGAGGCAGCGGGAUGUUUCCUCUAAAGGCCUUGUUUAAACCUGGGCCCGGGGAAUGGUGGUGGACUGGGUUCUGGGGGAAAGCGGGCUGGUUUCUCAGGUCAACUCAGGCUUCGACUGUUCCCAGGGGGAUGGCGUCCACUCCGAUGGGGAAUGAGGGGGAGAAGAAGAGCAGCUGGCCAUCUCAAGCUGCACCCUCCUUGAGAGGAGGUCCGCAUUCUUCACCAAGACCUGAGGCACAGACACCUGGUGAGUGAGGCUUCAAGGGAGAUGCUCUUUGUCCUGGGAGAGAGAAACCGUACCUGCAGCAAGGCAUACCUCCUGCCAACUCCUGGUGAAAAGAACAUGCCUCAAAACUACUCUUUUGCCACUCGUUAACCACUUCCGUUUGUGGGGACCUCCUGGUCAUGAGCAGCAUCAUCCCGAAGCCUUCAAAGUGUUCUGGAUUCAUCACAGGACCCUCCAGCCUCAGCCAGCAAGGAUACCACCAGGAAUGAAAGUGCUUUAAUAAAGAGACAGGGUGUGCA